RNAcentral lists this transfer RNA (73 nucleotides) under Sinosporangium album. Its description in RNAcentral is "Streptosporangineae bacterium 6014 tRNA". It matches the Rfam family "tRNA". From Rfam's summary of the family: Transfer RNA (tRNA) molecules are approximately 80 nucleotides in length. Lineage: Bacteria; Bacillati; Actinomycetota; Actinomycetes; Streptosporangiales; Streptosporangiaceae. The record is from Rfam by way of RNAcentral.
GGGGUCGUAGUCCAACGGCAGAGACACAGGUCUUAGGAACCUGACAGUGUGGGUUCGAAUCCCACCGACCUCA